UUUCCGUAGGUGAACCUGCGGAAGGAUCAUUACAGUAGGCGCCCGGGUUGCCGCAAGGCCUCCCGGGUAACCUACCACCCUUUGUUUAUUACACUUUGUUGCUUUGGCAGGCCUGCCCUCGGGCUGCUGGCUCCGGCCGGCGAGCGCUUGCCAGAGGACCUAAACUCUGUUUGUCUAUACUGUCUGAGUACUAUAUAAUAGUUAAAACUUUCAACAACGGAUCUCUUGGUUCUG
This 234-nucleotide unclassified non-coding RNA is filed under the name plant metagenome. RNAcentral's name for it is "partial contains small subunit ribosomal RNA, internal transcribed spacer 1, and 5.8S ribosomal RNA". The record is from RNAcentral.